Molecule: ribosomal RNA, 613 nt
Filed under: uncultured archaeon
Lineage: Archaea
Description: bacterial SSU rRNA
Rfam family: Archaeal small subunit ribosomal RNA
Source: RNAcentral
GAGACAUGAAUCCAGGCCCUACGGGGCGCAGCAGGCGCGCAAACUUUACAAUGCGAGCAAUCGUGAUAAGGAAACCCUGAGUGCCUGUCGAUGCAGGCUGUUCAUAUAUCUAAAUCAUAUGUGAAGAAAGGGCAGGGCAAGACCGGUGCCAGCCGCCGCGGUAAUACCGGCUGCUCGAGUGAUGGCCACUAUUACUGGGUUUAAAGCGUCCGUAGCUUGACUGUUAGGUCUCUUGGGAAAUCUUCGCGCUCAACGUGAAGGCGUCUAAGAGAUACCGGCAGUCUUGGAACUGGGAGAGGUAAACCGUACUUCGGGGGUAGGAGUGAAAUCUUGUAAUCCUCGAGGGACGACCUAUGGCGAAGGCAGUUUACCAGAACAGCUUCGACAGUGAGGGACGAAAGCUGGGGGAGCAAACGGGAUUAGAUACCCCGGUAGUCCCAGCCGUAAACAAUGUGCGUUAGGUGUGUCGGUAACCACGUGUUACUGAUGCGCCGAAGAGAAAUCGUGAAACGCACCACCUGGGAAGUACGGUCGCAAGGCUGAAACUUAAAGGAAUUGGCGGGGGAGCACCACAACAGGUGGAGCCUGCGGUUUAAUUGGAUUCAACGCCGGA